RNAcentral lists this ribosomal RNA (253 nucleotides) under uncultured bacterium. Its description in RNAcentral is "partial 16S ribosomal RNA". It matches the Rfam family "Bacterial small subunit ribosomal RNA", at positions 524 to 776 of the family's 1533-position model. The record is from RNAcentral.
GACAGAGGGUGCAAACGUUGCUCGGAAUCACUGGGCGUAAAGGGCGCGUAGGCGGACAAGUAAGUCGGGCGUGAAAUCCCUAGGCUCAACCUAGGAACUGCACUCGAAACUGCAUGUCUUGAGUACCGGAGAGGAAAGCGGAAUACCUGGUGUAGAGGUGAAAUUCGUAGAUAUCUGGAGGAAUACCGGUGGCGAAGGCGGCAUCCUGGACCGACAUUGACGCUGAUGAGCGAAAGCUAGGGGAGCAAACGGG